This is a long non-coding RNA of Homo sapiens (human), 1174 nucleotides long. The record is from Ensembl. NCBI's taxonomy places the organism in Eukaryota, Metazoa, Chordata, Mammalia, Primates, Hominidae.
GGCAGAGGGGGAUUUGCCAGGGUAAAGAGGAGGCUGGGAGGAAGAGGCCUGCCGAGGGAGGCUUUGUCUUUUCAGCCAGAGUUUGACAAUUAGGCUUCAUCAUGUCACGAUGCGGUGCUACUGCUGACCCCAAAACACAACGCCGGAAGUGGUGCUCACUAGAGACUGUGAGUGGCAUUGUGCACCUGCCAUCUUGCUGAGGCCUCCCAGGGGAGCUCAGAGGACACCUGGCCUCCUUCAAUCCAGGACUCACUGUUGAAGUGGAGCCGGGGCCCUCGCAGGAAAGAAUGAGCUGUGGGAGGGCCACUGGUCCACCACAGGGAGUCUGUGCUGUCCAGUGCCCACUGGAUGGCAGGAAGGGUAGGGCCUUAGAUGUGUCAGAACUGUGACGCUGAAUCCGGAGCCCCAACCUCUCCUAGCCUCCUAGAGGAGGAUGACCCAGGACCCUUGUCCUCCCAACAGCAGGCCACCAGUUCAAGGGACAAGAAGCCCCUAAGCUCCCUCCACCUUUCACAUAGGGCCCAGGUGGCCUUGGAGUACCUGCCUUUCUUCUGCACCUAUGGGUGCCUCCUGGAAGAGGAGGGGUUGGUCCUGCAGCCCAAGACACCGCUCCAGGAGGACUCAGAACUGCUCAGUGGGUUCUUCCCUUACUACCGCUCUGAGGAGGAGAGUUUGCCCAGCCUGGCCCUUCCUGGCUGGUCACACAGGGGCUCCCAAGAUCUGCCCACUGAGAAGGAGGCACGGGCUGGCUGCUUCUGCAGGACAACAGUCAGGGACGAAUGCUCUGUCUCGGCAGAGUUCCCCCGUGACAGUGACCGGGAUGCCCCUCUCUCCAGGGACCAUGGUCUUUAUGCCUCAGGAUUUGUGCAUUACUACAGAACCCCUGAGGAGGGGUUACACACUAGCCCUGGGCCUCCUGCCUUUCCAUCUGGGAGCCAGGGGCCCUCAGGGGCUGCCCAGGGCUGGUGCAGUCACACCACGGGGAAGCCGGAGCUGACUGCAACAGAAACCACUGGAGAGCAGGCCCCCAGCACCCACUGACUGUCGAGGGAUGAAGCCUGACCCAAGCUCAGACAGAGGAAGCAGGAGCCACCUGAACAACUGAAGGGUGCAGACACCCAGAAGCUGGUUUUGUAAAUAAAUCGUGCACCUUGGCGCUGGUGCACUAAUUGGA